GAUUCUGGCUCAGGACGAACGCUGGCGGCGUGCCUAACACAUGCAAGUCGAGCGAGGAGAUCCUUCGGGAUGAUCCUAGCGGCGGACGGGUGAGUAACACGUGGGCAACCUGCCUCAUAGAGAGGAAUAGCCUUCCGAAAGGGAGAUUAAUACCUCAUAACAUUGCAGUUUCGCAUGGAACAGCAAUUAAAGGAGCAAUCCACUAUGAGAUGGGCCCGCGGCGCAUUAGCUAGUUGGUGAGGUAACGGCUCACCAAGGCGACGAUGCGUAGCCGACCUGAGAGGGUGAUCGGCCACAUUGGGACUGAGACACGGCCCAGACUCCUACGGGAGGCAGCAGGUGGGGAAUAUUGCACAAUGGGGGAAACCCUGAUGCCAGCAACGCCGCGUGAGUGAUGACGGCCUUCGGGUUGUAAAGCUCUGUCUUCAGGGACGAUAAUGACGGUACCUGAGGAGGAAGCCACGGCUAACUACGUGCCAGCCGCCGC
RNAcentral lists this ribosomal RNA (487 nucleotides) under uncultured bacterium. RNAcentral's name for it is "bacterial SSU rRNA". It matches the Rfam family "Bacterial small subunit ribosomal RNA", at positions 15 to 518 of the family's 1533-position model. The record is from RNAcentral.